Molecule: ribosomal RNA, 477 nt
Filed under: uncultured bacterium
Lineage: Bacteria
Description: bacterial SSU rRNA
Rfam family: Bacterial small subunit ribosomal RNA
Source: RNAcentral
CGCUNGCGGCAUGCUUUCACAUGCAAGUCGAACGGUAACAGGGAGCUUGCUCCGCUGACGAGUGGCGAACGGGUGAGUAAUGCAUCGGAACGUACCCAGUCGUGGGGGAUAACGUAGCGAAAGUUACGCUAAUACCGCAUACGUCCUGAGGGAGAAAGCGGGGGACCGUAAGGCCUCGCGCGAUUGGAGCGGCCGAUGUCGGAUUAGCUAGUUGGUGGGGUAAAGGCCUACCAAGGCGACGAUCCGUAGCGGGUCUGAGAGGAUGAUCCGCCACACUGGGACUGAGACACGGCCCAGACUCCUACGGGAGGCAGCAGUGGGGAAUUUUGGACAAUGGGGGCAACCCUGAUCCAGCCAUGCCGCGUGAGUGAAGAAGGCCUUCGGGUUGUAAAGCUCUUUCAGACGGAAAGAAAACGCAUCGGUGAUUACCCGGUGUGGAUGACGGUCCGUAAGAAGAAGCACCGGCUAACUACGUGC